GCCUGCAGUCAUGUCAACCAUGCCAUGUGCUUGUUCCCAUCAGAUCUUUCGAGCUAAGCAGGAUUGGACUGUGUCAGUCCUUUGAUGGAAGACCUCCAAGAAAGACUUAGAUGCUGUAGGAA
This 122-nucleotide ribosomal RNA is filed under the name Chrysemys picta bellii (western painted turtle). The record is from RNAcentral. Lineage: Eukaryota; Metazoa; Chordata; Testudines; Emydidae.